This 443-nucleotide ribosomal RNA is filed under the name uncultured bacterium. RNAcentral's name for it is "partial 16S ribosomal RNA". It matches the Rfam family "Bacterial small subunit ribosomal RNA", at positions 338 to 795 of the family's 1533-position model. The record is from RNAcentral.
CCUACGGGAGGCAGCAGUGGGGAAUAUUGGGCAAUGGAGGAAACUCUGACCCAGCAACGCCGCGUGAAUGAUGAAGGUCUUAGGAUUGUAAAGUUCUUUUUUAAGGGAAGAAGAAAGUGACGGUACCUUAGGAAUAAGCCUCGUCUAACUACGUGCCAGCAGUCACAGUAAUACGUAGGAGGCGAGCGUUAUCCGGAAUGACUGGGCGUAAAGGGUGCGUAGGUGGUAUGGCAAGGUAGUAGCGUAACUCCAAGGCUCAACAUUGGAACAACUACUAAAACUGUUGGACGUGAGUGCAGGAGAGGCAUGCGGAAUGCCUAGUGUAGCGGUGGAAUGCGUAGAUAUUAGGAAGAACACCAGUGGCGAAGGCGGGUUGCUAGACUGUAACUGACACUGAGGCACGAAAGCGUGGGUAGCAAACAGGAUUAGAUACCCGAGUAGUC